Molecule: ribosomal RNA, 388 nt
Filed under: uncultured bacterium
Lineage: Bacteria
Description: bacterial SSU rRNA
Rfam family: Bacterial small subunit ribosomal RNA
Source: RNAcentral
GACGAACGCUGGCGGCGUGCUUAACACAUGCAAGUCGAGCGGUAAGGCCCUUUCGGGGUACGACGAGCGGCGAACGGGUGAGUAACACGUGGGUGACCUGCCCUCAGCUCUGGGAUAAGCCUGGGAAACCGGGUCUAAUACUGGAUAUGACUCCAUGACGCAUGUUGUGGGGUGGAAAGCCUUGUGCGGCUGAGGAUGGGCCCGCGGCCUAUCAGCUUGUUGGUGGGGUGAUGGCCUACCAAGGCGACGACGGGUAGCCGGCCUGAGAGGGCGACCGGCCACACUGGGACUGAGACACGGCCCAGACUCCUACGGGAGGCAGCAGUGGGGAAUCUUGCGCAAUGGGCGAAAGCCUGACGCAGCGACGCCGCGUGAGGGAUGACGGCCU